RNAcentral lists this long non-coding RNA (30309 nucleotides) under Vitis vinifera (wine grape). RNAcentral describes it as "long non-coding RNA (VVIN_LNC000188)". The record is from RNAcentral. Lineage: Eukaryota; Viridiplantae; Streptophyta; Magnoliopsida; Vitales; Vitaceae.
AAGGUGAUAUAAUCUAUUUUCUAUGAAGUUUUUUGUGAACUAUAGUUGGCUUCAUUUUAUUUUCCUUUUUCACUUUUACUUUCUUUCUGUGUUCUCUUGCCAUCAAUGGUUUGGUGAUUUAAAUAGUUUGCUGCAUCAGGAACUUGUGCAAAGUGCACUCUUAGAGAGCAACACUGGAAGGGAUGAUCGCAUUCUUUACAAUAAGCUGGUGAGAAUGUCCAACAUUUGAGGGUGACUAGAAGGAUCUUUUAUAUCAAGAUUUAGAGAACUCUUCCCCUUUAGGAUCAUGAAAGGACAUGAAUUUAUAUAUUUUGUACUUUUCAGCUAUGGUUUAACACAUAUUUUUGGUUUUUGCCAUUGAAUUAUAUCUUUAUUUCCUUCUCAGCAGAAUGUACUACGUGGGCAAGUUUUUAAUAAGCAAAACUUUAUGGUCGUUUCUCCAGCACUUUUCAGCAUUUUUCUGUCUUUAAUAACUUGAGAUUCAGAAGCCCUGUAUGGUUGCAAUUCUUAAAACUGCCAUAGCCAGGAGCUUGCAUCAUCCUUCAUUACUGAACGCCUGAGGCUGAAGGUUACAGAUUUCCAGCCAAAACUGCUGGCUUACUGAAAAGGUCCUUUAAUUCAUCCCGGAAUCCUUCAUCUUCAUGUCUGUGUAAUUAACAAGUUCUUUUCUAAUGGCUUUCCCGUCCAAGGAAUUUAGAGAUAACUAAUCAAAAGCUUUUUGUUGGUUGUAAUUCUUUCUUUUUUCUUUGUUCCUUUCGUCAUUUAUUCUCUUGGUGAAAAGUUUUGGAGCAAGCAUGUUUGAUGCAACAGGUGCCAAUGUGGAAAUCCUUGCUUGCCAUUGAGCCAUUGGAUUAGAAAGUAUACCCAAAAAAAAACAAGGGAAAAUUUUGCAGAGCUAGUAGCUGGUGCAAUGUUAAUGUCAAGAAAGCUAUAACCAAACACCAAAAUCUGGGUCAAUGCUAUUAGCUGAUGGCUUCUCUCAUGAUCGCCAAGCACAGGAGGAAUCCUCCUGUAAACACUUAAAUUGCUCUCCGAUUCCACUGCUCCGCCUCCACUUCUCUUCAGUUCAGCCACAAAGGCCGCUGCCUUGGGAACCCUCGCAGCACUUACCACAGCCUCAUAUCCUUGCGCUUGCUUCAUGGCGAGUGCACAUCCAGGCAAGGGAAUGUGAUCUCUUCCCCCACAUACAAGCGCCUCACAUUUUAGAUCACAUGAAUGGUUGAUGAAUGCAAAUAGUAUCCAUAAUCCCACACCAUAGUAUUCACCAUUCUUCCCCAAAACUUUUGCUGAGCUCGCAUCCUCAGCUAGGGAAUUAAUUCACAUCCAACAUGUUAAAAAUUUUGCCCGUAUCAAGUCCACUCUCCUGUAUCUCAGGCCUGAGGAGACUCAAAUCAGCAAUCGCAAGCACAUCCUCAUCUUAAAUCAAAUCAAAUGGACUCUCCUGCAUUUUGAAGCUGAUCCAACAACUUAAUCAAUAAAAAUUCUUCCACAUCACUAAUUCUACUUUGUCCCCCGAAUCAUCAUUCUGCUCCUGUAAAAUACACCUUUCAGUAGCAAUUGCCUUGGUGACCAAGACUAUAGUCCCUGCAUCGAUGUUCUUUGUUCCAAACAAACCAUGCCCACUAAUCUAGACUUCCUAAUCCCUACUGCACCAAUGUUGCUCUGCCAGUUCUGGAAACUUUCCGCGAAACCCAUUUACGACCCAAUCACAUGGGUCAAAAGCUCUAGUCCUUGACUGAUACUUAAGUUCCUUGCAUCUCUACAGACUUCAAGUACCCAUUAAGGGUUCAGAUUUCAAGCUAUCCUCAGGAUCAAGAAGAGCUAAUUUGAAGAAGUCUAAUGCCAAAGACUAUCUAUGGAGACUGAGCAAGAUUCUACCUUUGCAGAGCAGAGUCUUGCAUGUCAAGUGCUCUACAUGGUUCAAAGUUGCGGUAUUGGUCACCGACUCGGAGGGUCCCGAGGCGUAUCGGUCUCGGUGUAUCGGUUUGGUAUCAGGCGAUACGUAAAAUAAGUUAAUUAGAAAAUUAAAAAAAAUAUAAAAAUAUUAUGUAAAUCAUCAAAAAUAUAUAUAUAAUUAAAUAAGCUCAAAAAAUUAAUAAAAUAAAAUUGUCUCAUAUUUAACAUUAUUUAAAUAGUUAUAAAAGUAUAUGCUCAAAGUUAUUUAUGAUAAUGCUAAUAAAAGAAAGUUAUUUUAUUUCUAAUAUAAUAACAUUUUUAUUAACAAACAUACAAUACAAUAAUCAAUUCCAUGUUGAAUGACGAGGGGGUUCAAAAUCAUCAUCAUCAGUCCUACGACAAAUUAGGGUGGCAAUUCCCAUAGUGAGGAUAUGGUUGAAAGAGUUGUUCAUAACUUGAAUAUGUUGGGUGAGAUGAUUGGCUUGAUGAUCCAUAAUCAGGAAAAUAUGGUUUCGAAGGCUGUUUGGGAUCAACACCAUAUUGAUAGUAUCCAAAACCUCGAUAAGCAAUGCUACUGCUACUAGAAGAUUGAUCAUAUCCAUAUGAGUCACUAGCUCGUGUUCUAGUAUUUGAAUAUCCCUCUGGAUGCAUCAUUGGAAAUUGAUCAAAAUAAUUUCUACUAAAAGUACUGGAAGAGCUAUCACGGUCUCUAAAGUUGUGAUAUGAUCUAUCAUCUACCCCUCUAAAAUACAGCCUUGAUCCUAUACCCAAAUUUUGUAAGUGCUCAUCAAUACGGUGAUAAUUUGAUCUAUGAUAAUCAUGCCCACUAGAGUAAUCAUCAUCGCUGGGAAAUGUAGUUAGUCUUUCCAAAUGCUUUCAUUGUUCCCAUAUCAUUGGUCGAUAUCCAUGAUCUGUAUCUUGUGUGACAUAGUAAUUUUCAUCUCCUUGUGCCCAUGACAUGCCAGGAUCUACUUGACUAACAUAAUCGCCCCCAGUCCUACCAUCUCCUCUAAUACUUUCACUAGUGCCACCAACUCCUCUAUUGCCCCCACUAAUGCCACCACCCCACCUACUGCCCCCAUUGUCACCAUCAUCACUACUAGAACUUGAAGAAAUUGUUCUAGAAGCCUUAUCUUUACGACGGGAAUCAACAUCUCUUUCUCUAUCUUCUUCAUUAGUGGGAAGACCUUUAUCUAACCAAUCCAAAUUAUCAGAUGAUAAAAUAGGCUCAUCUCCUCGUAUCCACUCAUCUAAUAUAUCAUCAUCAAUAAAGAUAUGAUUCAUAUCAAUUGGAUUGUAUAAAUCUUCAUUGCUUCGCUCUUGCAUCAAAUUCUUAACUCGAGUCACAUAUUGUAGUGCACAUAAACUAACUUAUGCAACUUUUUCAUUGCCAAACGGUUGCGCAACUUUGUGUGAAUCAAUGACCAUGUGCUCCAAUUUCUUUCACAACCUGAUGAAGAACAAGUUUGACUUAAAAUUUUAACAGCAAUCUUUUGUAGAUGUGGACCUUCCUCGCCAUAGUUUUUCCACCAUUCAGCUAUAAUAAAGAAAAUGCAUACUUAUUAAUCACUAUGAUGUAUGAUUCGUUCCCAAUUGGUGUCUCAGCUGAUUCAUGUCCAGCUGGUGCUUUUUGAUUAAGAGAGUAAUUAACAAAAUUUAUAACCUAUAUCACCAUGCAUUAGGAUAGCUUUAGCUAAUAUAGCAUAGUAGCUCUAGGAUCGUUCACUGGGAAAGGUUUUCAACUCACAACUAAUACCAAUUCAAAGUUAAAUUGGUGCUUUUUCAUUUCAAGUUUAGCUUAAGAAAUAAAACACAAACUUUGGUUAAACGAGGUUUUGUUUCAAGCUAACUAAAAAGAAAGUAAUGGAAAUUACUUAUGAAGAAAAACAUUCCUUGGAGGUUUGGGUUCACAGGGGAGGUUCCUUAUGCAAAAACAGAGCUCCGGUCAUUUGGUUCAUUUCCUCGCAUUAGAGAAUUAACAUAUAGUCAAUUCUCUAACCGGUGUUGUACAAAUGUAUCCUUUAAAUGGAUUUAAGCUCUAAUUCCCUCUCAUUGAUGCAACUUGCAAUGGCUCGUGCCUCUCACCUAGCAUUUGCCAUUCAAGGUGAUCUUUAACUUUGGAUUUCCCUUCUCAAGCUCGUAAGAGAUAACUAAUGGAUGUCUCCUUGGAGUCCAAAAGCUUACCAAGUAUUGGCAAUUCUAGAAAAUCCUACCUUUAAGUCACUUCCCAAAAGCUCGCAAGAGGUAAACUAGUGCAUCUCCAUGGACGGAGAUCACUUGCCUUACCAAGUGUUCACUCAAGUGAAUUGAAGGUGUUUUAAGUUAACUAAAAACAUAGAAAUCAUUAAAGGAACACACUUUCUCUUCAUUAAUGGCUGGAACCACAAAGCUAUAAAUUCUUGCACUUGGAACCUUUCUCGGCAACCUUAGCUCCAAGGAACUAAAAGUCUAGCCACUCAUUCUCUGAGGAAACUUCCUUAGAACUUGUUUGGCUAGAAAGAAAACUAACGAGAAAACAAAAAUAUCAAGGAAAAACAGAGCAAGUGCUCUGUAAAAUAUAUUUCUUUCUUCCACUGAUUACAUAAUAAUUGUUUUGUAAAAGAAAAUUACAAACUAUAUAUAUGAAGUUAUUCACCCUUUGUUCUUACUUAAAGACUAAAGAAUCCUAUGAUAGGUGGGUUACAAGGAGAGUUUGGGGAUUUAGACAACAAAUAUCUAAAGCAAAAUAUCUCAAGAUGUCGGUCGGAAAUAUCAAGAAGCUUCAGGAGAACACUGCGGCAUUGUAUACUGAGAGAAAAACAUUCCGGGUAAGCGCUAUCAAAAGAUCCGGAUACGUCUGUCCGGGGAAGUUGAAACGUCCUCCUCUCCCAUCCGGCUGUGAGACAUCCGGAUGUGAAAUAUCUGAUCAGAGGAUCCGGACAUGUCUGACCGGACAGAAUUCCGGGAGUGAGAUAUCCGCGCGUCGCAAGGGGUAUCGUUUGCGUGUACAAGGUGUAGGGACCCCUCCCCCUGAUGACACGGAGCGCGCAUUGCUAUCCGGCGCAACUCCAUCCGGAUUCCCCAAGAGGACACGCGCCGCCAUGCUAUCCGGACUCCCUGAGGGAGAAGCACACGACACUCGUGAACAUCACACUCCGGACGAUAGCAUAUCCUAUUCGAAUAUGUUGUCCGGAUGGAAAACAUUGACUAAAGUGAGCAAGCCUUGCUACGUCAUUCCGACAACCUGCCAUAGCUCACGUUCUGCUGCCCUCCAAUGGUGUGUCCGGAUGCCUUGUCCGGACAUCUUUUGCCAUGGAUUCCAAAGAAACUCCCCUCAAUCUCGGAUUGCUUUGGUGAUAAAAAAGCUAUCAAAACACCAAAAUUUAACACAAUUUGAUUAGAAUUGAUUGCAAGGGUCCUUAAUAUGUUAAUUGGGUUAAAAGGUGAUAACUACUACUCAAAAGUGUUUAAAAGAGUUAAUUACAAGCUAUCAAAUAGCACUUUUUGAGUAGUAAUCAAUGUAUUUAACAAAAAAUGAUGAUAAUUUCUUAUUUGUAAUAGAUGUAAAUGUAUUGAGUACUUGGAAGAGAUUGAUUUAUUGCUUUCUUUGUAAGUGCACUUCCAAAUUCUCCUUGGCCAUCAACAAAUAAUUUCACCUACAUCAUUAACAUUUUUUUUGUUAAUGCACAUUACAUAUAAUUGAUUGCAAGGGUCCUUAAUAUGUUAAUUGGGUUAAAAGGUGAUAACUACUACUCAAAAGUGUUUAAAAGAGUUAAUUACAAGCUAUCAAAUAGCACUUUUUGAGUAGUAAUCAAUGUAUUUAACAAAAAAUGAUGAUAAUUUCUUAUUUGUAAUAGACGUAAAUGUAUUGAGUACUUGGAAGAGAUUGAUUUAUUGCUUUCUUUGUAAGUGCACUUCCAAAUUCUCCUUGGCCAUCAACAAAUAAUUUCACCUACAUCAUUAACAUUUUUUUUGUUAAUGCACAUUACAUAUACAAAAUGCAUUAUAUAAAGGUCACAAACUAUUAUUAUACCUCAUUAAUAGUUUUUGCUUGUCUAUCCAAAUCUGACUCUAAUCUCUUGAUAACCUUCUUUAAUCCAACUUUAAUUUCCGGAUGGUUGGAGAAAUGCUUUGAAUAUUGGAACAUUGGAUUUAAAAAAUAUACUACCAUAAGUUAAAUAAUGAUCAAUUUAUAAUAAUUUAUACUUGAAAAAUAAUAAUAACAAUAUAUAAAUAAUUUUUUUAUUACCUGCAACAUGCAAAUGUCUAUGUAAUUGACAUUCCCACCUUCUAUCAAUGACUUCCCAAUACUUUUCCCAUUACUUGACUGAUGCCUUGAUAGCCAAUUUAGCUCUAUCCAUUGCUUCAUAAAUGAUUGAUAGUGUGGGCUUUUUAUCUUGAUCAACCAAUUUCAAUACUUUGAUGAGAGGUUCCAUGAUGGUUUGAACUUCCCCUACCUUAUUCCAAAAUCGAUCAGUUAAGAUAAGGUUGGAUACCUUAUCUCUUAGAAUUUUUAUGCUCCUAUCUUUAUUGAAUUCACGCCACUCAUUUGUUGUGCACAUUCUCUUCAAAUCAGCCUCAUAACGUAUAAGACUCUCACGUGAAAUGAAUUCAGUGGCAAAACGGGUUAUCUUAGCUUGAUCUAAUGUCUCCUUAAUUUGCUUCAUGCUUGCAAUAUCUUCAAGUAUUAAAUCAAUACAGUGGGCUGCACAAGGAGACCAAAACAAAUGCUUCUGCUUCUCCAUCAACAACAUAUCGACUGCUUUAAAACUUGCCUCAUUAUCAGUGACUACUUGAACAACAUUUUUCUCCCCAACCUCCUCUACAACUUUAUCCAUAAGAGAAAAGAUGUAGUAUGUUGUCUUAGGUAUGUUGGUAGUGUCAACUGAAGAAUGGUAUAUCAUACUUCUAUCAUAAUAAAUCACGAAUUUAAUGAUAGGCUUUCUAGUCCUAGAACUCCAACCAUCACACAUGAUUGUGCACCCAUAUAUAAGCCAUUUAGCCUUCAAUGUUGUUAUGUAUACCUCAAGCUCUUGCACCUCCUCUUCCAAAAAUGUAUUUCCAAUUUGGUAUCCCGUGGGACCUUUAAUGCCUGAACUUGCUUCCGCUAUGGUAUCAAUCAUUGAUUGAUAGUAAGGCCCAUUGUCAGCUGCAUUAAAGGGUAUUGCAUUAAAGAGAAAGAAUUUAGAAAUAGCUUUACCCACUUUCUUCACGUCUUCAGUAGAAAACAAGCUUUUUAUUGAUUUCUGCUUUGAUGGGAACAUGUAGGGAUCAAUUCCUUUUGGAGGUAUGCUAGCUCCUUCUCUUACACUGAAGCUAUGUGUCAGUCUGUGCUUAAUCCUAGUAUUAGAAGGUUGUGAGGAGCUACCACCCUUCUGAUGCUCUUGUCCACCUUCUUAAAAAAUUUGACGACUUUCUUUCAUUGCUUGUUUCAUUUGUCUUCUUUCAUAAUUAGUCAUAGCAACUUCCUCAAUUUCAUCAUCAGAAUCACCCUCAUCAAUUUCAUAGAAUUUUUCUCUAUUUAAGGAACUCAAAAGUCGUUUUUUUUUUCUUUAACUAUGCUUUUUCUUUUGAAGUAUCAGACAUAUGUUGUCUAACACUAUGUGACACUUCUACCGGUACACGUGGACAUCUUUCCACUUGUUCGGAUAUAUGUGCGAUGUGUUGCUUUAAUCUUGUUAUACUGCCAUGUAUAAAUUUCCCACAAUAUUUACACUUUGUGGUUCUUCUACUACCACCAAUAGGUUCUGCAUACUCCCAACCAAUAUCAUGUUUUGAAGUCAUUUUGAAAUUUUAACCUAACCAUGUAUAAAAAGAAAACAACUUACUUUUCAAAAUAAGUACAUAUAAACACAUAUAUAUAAGAAUUAUAAUAUUCAAUUUUCCACUCACCUAUUGUUUUAUAUUGUUACCAUAUAAAAAUAAAUUCUACUAAAAAAGCAAUAAACACGAUCUCACCUAAGUUAAUCAUCUUUUGUUUCCACUUAUUUAUAUGUUUUUUUUAAUUAAAAUAAAUAAUAGUUAAAUAAAUGAAUAUUUUUAUAAAAAAAAUAUUUUAAAAAAGUUUUUUUUUGAUAAUUAUUGAUUUCCUAUUGUAAUUUAAUUGUAGAAUAUUAUAAAAUAAAAAAUCUACAUGAUAUAAUGAAGUAAGAUUGAUUCAAAUAUAAAUGUAAUUUACCAUAUAAAUGCAUAGCCUUCAUUCCGUAUUAUUAAAUCAUUUAUGAUUAUUUGAUUUAAUAAUUAUUAAUUUUCUAAUGUAAUUUAAUUUUGCAAAAUAGUAUUAAUGUAAUUGAGUAAUAGGGAAAUUUUUUGUCACUAAUAUAAUGUAAAUUUAUUUAUACUAAUAGAAAAUUGAGUGAUAUUUUUAAAGUAUUCAAUACAAUUUCUUGUACUUUAUAUUUUGUAGCAUUAUACAAAAUUUUAUAUAAAAUAUAAAACAUUUAUUCAACCAGACAAUGUAACAUUUCAGAGCUCAUGAUAUCACUCAAUAAUAAUAUUAUAAAAGAUUUUGAUGAUAAUUUUACUCAAUACUAUUUGACUAAUUAUAUGUCAAAUGUCAAUUUUUCUCCUUAUUGAUUUUUUAAAAAAAAUUAUUAGCAUAAAAAAUAAAGUGGACAACUAGGAAAAGAAAAUUAAUUUAUUUUAAUAUCUUGUAAGAUAAGACGCUUUGAAAUUAUGUUGUAACAUUGGUGAUUAUCGUUAGUGAGUAACUACUUGGCAAUUCUAAUUCAAACGAAAGUUCGAGUAUUAAAACUAUCUUGAGAUUUACUCAAUUUAUUAAAACCUAAUUAGUUAAAAAUGAUGAAAAUAAUUCUUAUAUUUGAAGAGUAACUCAUUUUUUUAUAUAUAUAAAUACCCUUGAUUAUUUUAAGUAUUUACAUGAAUGCUUUAAAAGAAAUAAUUAUUUUUAUAAGAACAAAAAUGAGAGGUUUUUUUUUUUAAAUGAUGCCAAAAAAAUAAUGAAGGGUUAGAUUUCCAAAAUUGGGUUUUCAAUAACCUUUUUAAUUAAAUAAGUCAUUUACUAAUGCUAUAUUUGGUUUAUGAAUAUUAGAGGGGGAAAAAAAACUAAACAAAUUUAAGGUUAAUAAAUUAUUUUUGUAUGGCUCUUUUAAUUCAUUUUAUUUAUUUAUUUUUCUAUAUAAAGAUUAUAUAAUUUAAAAAUAUAUAAAUGUUUAGCUAAUUUUUAAUUGCAGCUGAUUUUCUUUUAUAUAUUUUAUGAUAAAAAUAGUGAAAAAAAUAAAUAAAUUUUCUUAAUAAUUUUUUGGGAAUCAAAUAUAACCUAAAUGAAGGUUUAGCAUCUAUUACAAAUGAGUACUUAUAAUUUUUUUUACUUAUAUAUGGAAAAUUAUAUUAUACCAUAGUUGAAGAAUAUAAAACAAAAAUCAAAGACCAUUCAACCAAAGACUAAUAGAUCACAUCUCAAGGAUGGUCAAUCACCCAACUGGGCUACAAGAGUGUUAUAUUAACUAUACAAGGCAAAUGUACUAACUACAUAAAGCGUGUACAAUGCUAUCAUUUGUGAAGGACUUCAAUCGAUUUUGAACAACCCAUUUUUUUUAAUCCAAAUAUUGCACUCUCAUGUCAUAGAUUCCUCCAUCAAACACUCAUCUCAUACACUUCAUUUAAGUCGCACAUAAAAAUUUGAAUACUUACUCUACUAAUGAUGUUUGAGGGAAAUUUUUAUUUUUACAUCUUCCACCAUUUUUACUUAAUAAGCAGAUAUAUAAUGAUAAAACAAAACUUAGGCACAAGUGUUAUAGGUUUUUCUUUCUAUAUAAAUUUCUACCUAUGAUAGGAUUCACUGCUAAGCCAUACUUACAUCAUUAUUUGUUGGCUUUGGAAGUGCUACUUAAUCCAUUGAGUCCUCAACCAUUCAUUUUUAAAAAUUGAUACAAUUAAUCAUAUUUCAAUUGAAUGUAAAUGAACUAAACCUCAUCCCCAUCUAAAAAUAAUUAGGUGAGCAAUGUAUUAUGUACCUCUCCUUGUCUAAAACAUCCAAAGUCCUUAAGAUUAGCUACUACUCGGUGGUUAAUCAGGUCACCAUUCUAAGCGGUGGCAUAGGGCACCAUGAGUAGGACUUCAAAAAAAGGGAUUCUUAAUUUCAUUAGAUAGAGCAAUUGCAUAAAGUAAUGGAAUAUUACAACAUAUGAAUUAGCUCUUAAUGAUAGAAAAGAAAAAACAAGGAAAUAAAUUGAAAAUGAGUAGAAUACCUAUAAGAAGAGUAGGCAUCCAUGAAACCAUGAUGUUUUGGAUUGCUGAAACUAUCUUAUUUCCUCAACUAGUUCAUCCACCAUGAAUUACCCCUAAUUGACAUUGUUGUGGAAUGCGUCUUCAUGUAUUAUGCGUCAUAGGUGUCUUGACAUCCAUCAAUCCUAGAUGUCAGCGCUAGUAUUGUGGCACAAGCAUAAAAUAUGAAGGGCCUUCGAAACUUCUCUCCUAUAGGUCAAGAAACGAGUUAUUCCUUGUACCUUCAAAUGAUGCCAAAUGGAUGCUUGGAUAUGGUGAAGCCUAUGUGGAGUCUUUAACCACAUGUUGGCAGACCAAAUAUGUUCUCAACAGCAGCUGCUGCCACCUUGAUUGGUUUGUCAUGACUUAUAUCUAGCCUCCUAAAUUCAAUGUUAAAAUGUUGGAUCAACCAUAUGAAAAGGUUGUGGUGCGACUCAUGGCAUUGAAUGGAGAGGAGACCUCCAAACUAGAGGUCCCUUUUGGAUUAUAGUUUAUCAUCCAAUAAUUUGAUACAUAGUUUAAGAAAUUUGGUAGCUGAGCACUUAUUGGAGAAAGAUUGAACCUAGAUUCAACAGAUGAAAAAGUGGCCACAUUGGUGACUGCAAAUUUUAUUUAUUACUGCAUGAUUAGUUUUCUAUAGGGUAAAACUCCUUUAGGUCACUACAAGGUAUCACAUAAGUUAUAAUAGUGACUUCAAACUAUAGUUGAUGGAGUAUGAGAGGAUAGGUUUCUAAAAAAUUGCAAUUUGAUUAAAGACGAAUCCUUAAAAAACUUUAAAACCAAAUUCCACAUUUAAGGGGAUGUUAUCAAGCCAUACUGAGACCUCAACGCUUUGUUCAUCAAAUUAUGGUUGGGAUUUUUCAUCUCUAUAGUAAAAACUGAGUUCAAAUACAAACAUAUGAUCCAUUAAAUUAGGAUCAAGGCAUGUCUCAUUUGUGUUUCUAAGCAUAGUAAAUAAAGCACUUCUAGAAAACUAAACAAAGAUAAUCAUGUAUAAAGAAAUAUGUGAACAUGAAAAUCUAAUAAAUAGUGAAGCUCAAAAUCUCUAGGUAAAGACCUCAAGUAGAUCUUUCUAGAGAUAAGAGAUGUCACUGAUAAUAUGAAAUUUGUGCAAUUUAGAGAACACAAAGUAGAGGAAUAAUAGGAGAUUUGUGAUAAUGUUGAUUAACUAACUAAUUUUUUUGUUUUCAUGAGUAUAUGAUAUUUCAUUGUCUAGUGUGAAGAGAUCGUUGCUCGUUGAUAUGAAAUUGAGUCACCAAAUGAGUCAAGGUGAGUUUUUCAUUUUGAAUAAAACUAAGGUGAUUGGGCCUAAUUCAAAAAUAGGAUUAAAACUCUUUACCUUAAAGGGUAUUUCUAAAUUUUGCUUGAACACACACAAUACAUGCACACUUGAGCACAUUUAGAUACUUGGAAUAACUUAUUAAUGAGUUUAUGAGCAUGAAUCAUGAAGAUAUGACUCUUGAAAAAAAAUUGCAAAAAGAAAAUUAAAAAAUAAGGUUAUCUCCUCUAAAUGCAUGUAAUAUUGUGUGUGUUUAAGUAGAAUUCAAAAAUAAUCUUUAGGUAGAUCAUCUCAAGGGUGCAUAACAAAAUAAGAGUAAUGAACUACUAUAUAGGUCGUGCACUAGUACUACACCUCAAAUUUCGUCGCAUGUUGAGGUCAAACCUAUAAUGUAAUAAAGAUGAUUAAAGAACCUACAAAAUUAGAUAAACUAGUAAAAGAAUCCUUGUGCAUUAUAUCCUAUCUUAGUUUGAAUAAAGUACUUAGUUAUUAUGCUAAUUCUUGAUUAAAAUUGCCACCUUACUAACAAAUGAAAUAGAGAGAUUUUCAUGAAAAGUGAUGAAGUAAGAAAAAAAAGAGUCAAGACUAAGUUCAUCAAUCAUGGACCAACCCCUUAAUGCUUACUAAGUAGAAAUUCAAUAUAGCACUAUUAGCUAUGUAUUAUGGUAUCUUUAAGUUAGCAUUCAGGUAAGUCCCUGAGGGGUAGAACCCAUAACAAGAGUUUCAAAUUAACAAAAAAUCGUAGAUCUUGUGAAUAAAUUAAAGACAAUGUAAAAAAGCUUUUGUAACAUGAUGUUUAAGCAUGGGUUUUAGGUUUUAGAUAUUGAAACUUUUCAUAAAAUCAACAAAAGGUGAGAAAACUUUAAAUGCAUUAGAAGAGCAUUUUGUAUGUAAUUAAAAUGGUUUUUUCCAUGAGGUGGUUAAGUACUAGGUCCCUAUCUUGUGCCUAGCCCCAACACCUUAAUUGCAGGUGAUAAAAAACAUUGUAAAUGCACUCUAUUUUGUAACUUGAAUGUGAGAAAAUGUUGAGUAAAGGUAAGCUACAAUUGUAGUCCUAUUUAAGUCAUGGGUCCGUUUUAUCUUGUGUGAUGACUCAAUCAAGCUUGACAAAGGUAUAAGGCAGAUCCAAAGAAAGAUCCUUAAAUGUUUUAUUAGGUUUUGUUUUUUAGGUAAGCAUUUAUUAACCAAAAUUAAUGAAAUAAAUUACAAACAUAGAAUCCUUUAUAGGCUGCAUCACUAGAUUGUUAGGUAACUCCAAAGGAGAAAUAUUUCUAUUCACAAAAGUAUGCACUUUUUACAAACAUCACCACUACUUCUCUGGUAAGUCCAUAGAACAAACCUUUCUAGUGGUAAGACUAGUCAUGAUAUCAACUAUUAUUUUACUUACCAAUCCAUAAAACAUGAAUAUAAUUCCAACAAAUAAAACAGAUAACUAAUUGUCUUAAUUGUCCAACAACCUUCUUCACUUUAUAUGGAGCAUUAAGUGGGCAAUAUAGAACAUUGUCUACCAUUAUUAGAAUUAGUGACCACAAUAGCAUUUCUCAUACUCUCUCAAUCCUUGCUCUAAUGAAAAUAUCAUCAACCUAUGUGAUGGAAAGGUUCCAAUCUAUAGAAUACUAAGCUUCAUCCUAGUUAAUUCAAAAAUGACAAAUGAAUAUAAAAGAAAAGCCUUCUAUUUGCUAGAAUUUUUUUUAAUUCAUAUGAAAAUAUAUUUAAUCAUGAUAAACUUAUAUAUUAAUUUGAAUAAUAGUGAAUUCAAAAUAAUAUUGAUUUUUUAAAAAAUAAGGUUAUAAUACCUAAAUAUAAUAUAGGAAGCCAAUAAGUAAAAAUAUAGCACUAUAAAGUCCUUGCUCCCAUCAAUGACAAUGCUUAAAGCAAGUCCAAAUCCACAAAAUGAAAAUGUAGCAUGUCGUACAUAUAACCACGAUAAUACAUAAUAACUAAAAAAAAAAAAAAAAAUCUAUGUGAUAGAAUAACUGGGAAACAAACAACCCAUAAAAAUAUUAUAAUAAUAAAAUGAGUUUAUUGUGGCAAAUGAGUAGUACAUUUGGAGUGACUGUGUCCAAUGCCAUGGCAUUAAGAGUAAUGAAUAGUUCUCUUAUAGCUAAAUUGUGACUCAAUGCACCAUUGUUGGGGUAUUCUAGGAGGGCGUCUCACUUGCAAGGAUUAAAGAGUAGGAAAUGAAUUGUCUCCUCCAUCUUGCACACUCAUAUAUGCAUUUACUUUGGGCAUGUUUUGUGUUGGAAAUGGUAGGAACUAACUUAAGUAAAUCAAAUAUUGAGUAAAGACCUUGUAACAUGUAUUGACAUACCCAUCCAUAUCUUGUCCAUCAUGUGAAUAACAACACAUGCAUGGGCACAUGAUAAAUCAGACAUUUGUCAUGCCAUACAAGUACAAAAUGUUGGUUUAUGUCCACAACCACAUAAACCUCCCCAAUAAACACCUUAAAUGUCGCCCUCCCAUCCAAAAUAUGACAUGAUAGCAUUCAGACCAAACCUCAUAAUAGUUGACAUUAGCUUUUCUUUUGUUUUCGAUCCAACCAUGCUCUUCCAUUUUUUUGUCCCACCAAAAAGGGUGUCUAAUAUGGCCACAAGCUUAUUCAUGUGCCUCAUCAACAAGGUAUAAAUUGUUUAGUGGAGCUCCUUCCUUAACCAUGCAUUAAAGGACUUCAUAAUAUUAGUGAUAAUUUUACCAAUGUUUUUUAGGGAACUUUGGCAUCGCCCAUUAAUGUUCAAGAUCGUUAUUCACAAACCACCUAGCUUAUUUAAGUGGAUAUGUGUGGACCUCGCAUUUCGGCUCGCUCAAUGCGUUUCCCACUCGAUGGCGAGCUCGAUCUUUAUUUUAUUUGAAAAAUUGAUUUUUAUUGAUUAAGAAAAUGACUUGGAGUCGCCACUUAUUUUUGUUUUAUUUUUAAAGGGUAAACAAAAUAAGAAAGAAAAACCCUAAGUGUGACUCCUUAUUUUAGAAAAGGCAAUCUACGAAAAACCGGAUUGGGCUCGGGGGUCAGGUUACUUAUCAGGAAGGUACGGUAAAGACCGUAGCACACCUCUAAGUCCCUAAAGUCGGGUCUCUACUAAUAGACUGAAGCUGACGUGGCGAUCAAUGAGGAAAUCGAUGAAUACUCAAAUCGAUCAUGCACAAUAUGAUAAGCAAAGCAUGUAUAAAGAAUGAGCAAAAUACGGAUAGAUGCGUACCUGGGCAGCAAUCUCGAAUGCGCUAUCAUGAAACAGGGUUAGUGAGCAAUGAACAAGAUAUAAUUAAGCGCAUAUCAUGGAACAAAAUAAAUCAAAUACGCACGAUAAGUAACUCAAUCAAACAAUCAAUCAAUCGUCAAUUCACAUAUGUGGGGCCCCCACCAAAGACCGUUUAUAUUUGCAUGAAUUAAUUCCGUAAAUUCCAUCACUCGGAAUUACGGAAUUUAAAUUCAGGUUUAUUUUAAAACUUUUAAAAUCAUGAAAAAUUCGAAAGUGGCUCGCCGGGAAGAAAAGAAAGAAAAAGAAAAGAAAAGAAAAAGAAAGAAAAAAGAAAAAAAAAAUGGCGGCAAAUUUUAUUUAAAGAAUGAGGUAUUUAGAACCUAAGAAAAAAUGUCUAAGGAUGAAAAGUUUAAGAAGUUAAAAUUAUUUGAAGAAUUUUAAAAAUUGGAAAACUAUUUGAAAAUCGGGAUUUGAGGGAUUAUUUUAAGAACAACAAAGAUAAAAUAACAAUAAUGACAAAGAAGAUAAUAAUAAUAAUAAUAAUAAAAAUAAAUAAAAAUAAAAAGUAAAAGAUGUUUGACGAAUGGAAAAGGGUAAAAAUGGAUUUAUUUAAGAUAAAGAAAGAAAACUUGAAGGAUUUAAACCUUUGAAAAGGAUUUUAUUUGAAAAUCAAUUGUUUUUGAAAACAAUGCACUGGAAUGUAGGGGUAUGCCACGUGGGUUUCAGGGGUGGCCCACCAAAGGUGACCAUGCAAGAUCCUCGUUAAUGAGGAUUUGAUGAAGCGUUCUCCCUAACCAGAUUUGAUAGCUAUGAAGUCCCAUACCAAACAAGUCCAAGUUCAGAGUGGAGCCAGAGGGACCCACAACAGCCAUGAUCCUACCAGGCUCAGCAUACCCAGUAACUCCAUGCAGCAUCAAACUAUGCUCCUCCAUCAAUUCAAGCAAGCACGGCUGUGAUCGAACUCCACUUACAUCUUGGGCCUCCAAACAAUUUUGCCCUUGCCUUUGUCAGGAAGACAUUGAUGAUGAAGUGACCUGAAAACAGUCUCCAACACCGAAACAGCAUCAGUUUUGAUGGUGAAGUGACUGAUUCAAAGUAGCCUCUUCGGUUGUUGAAGGCUAAUAACAAUGGCUUCUCUUGCAUCAACACCUCGGCCAUGUAGACUUGAUCCUCAACUCACUUGGUAUCCCAAACCUUUGCUAUAGAGAUAACUUGAUAAUCAGGGUCUUUGAACCUUUCUUGCAGUCAUCAGCCUGGCAUCACUAUGCUAGAAAUCCCAUAUUCAUUCUCAGGUUUUACAUGCCAACAACCAUCAGUCCUCACUGGUAUCUCAGCUACAUCUUCUCCGCAAGACACUUCCUAGAACGUUGGUUCAUUUCCACAAAAAUUCCAAGGUCAAAGCAGCCCAUGUGAUGGGAGGAGGUGCUAGGAUAGUCAUUUGGUCUGGAAAAUAGCAUUGUGGGACCCUACUCAUCUUUGGGAUCCCACGGCUGUCACCGUUCUAACAGCCUUCAUGCUUGGGGUAAAUGGUAUUGUAGCGGCUCUACAAACUCCUUUGUCGUGGCAGAUAUCAAUGAAGCUAACCUCGAUGGCCUGAUUCUUCACGCAGAUCUCACCCUCAUUCGAUUCUCUUAUUUCGGCAUCUUCCCAAGUCAGGAUCUCAAGACCAUUAAGUUCAUGAACCUUGAAGGCUCUUUCCAUGAUUGCAGCUGCUGACUUUGGGCAUGAGCCUGGAAAAACGCAUCUAAGGAUUGGGAUGCGGGUAUGGAGGAUUGGCUUAUGAGGGCCUGGUGAAUGAGAGUGCGAGUGAUGGAUGAAGGAAAUGGGUUCACAGGGUGAUGGAAGAAAUGAGUUUGGUGACGGAAUGGAAGAUAGAGAUGAGAGGUGGGGUGACGGGCAGGACGAUAGGUUAGAUGGGGGGAGGUUUUGGUGAUGAAUGGUAGGUAUGAUAUGGUUAUGGGAGUGUGGGCACAGAUAUGGGUGUGAAGGUUAAUGAGAAAUGAGAUAGAAGCCGUCAUGUGCAUGGGAAGUGAGUAACAGGUUUGAUGGGCGUGAGGAGGUUUAAAGAUAUGGGUAUAGAGGAACAUGAAGGAUGGGUAUUGAAGGAUAUGGGUGAUUUUGGGGUAUGGUGAGCAUAUAAGGUGAUAGGUUCGCAUGGGGACCCAGGUUGAUGAGCAAUGAAGGGGAAUGGGUAUGAGGUGAAGUAUGCUGGCAUGCAAAGGUGAGGGAAACAAUGGCUUCAACAGCGUGCUCCCUCAACAGUUUCAUGCUUCUUUCUCGUUCUAAUAACGGUCCUCGGUACAUUCUUGACACUCUGAUUCUUCUUCUCACCAGAGGCAUAGUUUAAACCUCUUGACUCUCACCCUCAAACCGAUUGAAAGCUUUACCAGAGAAAACACAUCCAAAAACAAAGAAUCUUCCCUUGUCAAAAACGUGAAUCGACUUAGAGACAUAGAGCAUAGGAAGACCUUCAGGAUCAGAGUUUCCAAUAGUAGGCGGCGUGGGUAUCACCCAAGGGUCUUUUAUACACAUUAUCCAGAUGAUAUCUUAGAAUCCGUGGCAGACGAGGGAAAGUGGAAAAUCAUCAUCUCUAGGAGGUCAGUGCUUGUUGGGACUCAGCAGGUGAUGCUACCCAGUUUCUUACCGGACCACGUUCAAAAAGCUCCACAAUACCUAUCCAGGUGCAGAAAAUUCUCUAUCUCAAGAAACCCACUUCACGGAACAUUGAUGACCUCCAGACAUGAUCUCAUUGUGGUGAAUUUCAUUACCUCUCCAACCCCAUGCAUGGAACCAGAACCAAAAAACAGAUGCGGUCUCGACAAUAAAAAAUGUAUGAAAACAUAGCAUAGCAGGAAACAAAUACAAAAAAACGUCCUCAAAGAAGGCUUCACAUCAUGGGUCAUCAGUGAACCUCCUUAUUGGGUGAGAAAAUCAGCAUCAAAUAUGAACAUUAGAAUGAUUCUUGGGUAUUUAACAAAAGAGACAUGGCACAUCAAGAUUAAUAAUGUUGGGCAUGAACUCAGAAUUUUAUCUCAACAGGCAAUAAGUGGCCUUCAUUUAUCCACCCAAACAAGCUAAUCAACAUUCAGAUAUCAACAAGAAACAUAGAAGAGUAAUAGGAAUCCAAAUCAAACCAUAAACAAUAUUACAUUCAUACCUGAGAGUAUCCUCUUCCAGUCAGAUAAUACCCGGCCUCAAACACCUUAAAUCCUCCUCUAAAACCCCGAGGAACUAAUGAAACAGCCGAGCUUCCUAUACUCUCCAAAUACACCACUCUCUCUUUCUUGCUCUCAAGUCGUACCCUCCCCUUCUAAGCUUCUUUCUCCUCUCAAGCCCCUCUGAAAUAUGCCCUGUCUCCUCUCUUCAGAGACAUCCCCUGUUUCUUCCUCGCUUCCCCUCCCUAAAGCGACCUCGUCUCCAAUGAAAAAAACCCCCCUUUAAAAAAGCAACCUGCUAUCCAAAAAUAUCCCUAUUUCUUUUCUCCCGGAUUUGCCCUUCUAACCAUAUUUGCAGAGACAACCACCUUCCAACCCCACUACUCUGCAGCCUUCCAAAAAGCAUUCCUCCAACGGCCAGACGACCUCCCCAUGCAGCUGGCUUUUCUCCCUCAAAUAACAGCCAAAAAGAUUUUUGUCUGAUUCCAUGAUGACACAUGUCGACCCCGGAUUGGCCUUCAAAAGCACUACUCUGAUUCCAUGAUGGCCAAUCAGGGAUUGACACGUGGGUGCUUAGGAGUGCGACACCUGGCUAAAAGCAAGCUGCAGAAUGACUCCCAAAAUGGGGGUCUACAAAAUGUUUUGAAAAUACCUCAUUAUGAUCAUUAGCUAAUAUAGCAUAUGCAAUGCUAUUCCAAACAUUUUCCCUCAAUUUCUUUUCUUUAAUGUUUUGCGAAUUGAAGAAGCUAGUAAAGUUCUCCUUCAAAUGACGGUAACAAUAUGCAUGAUUUUCCAUUCCAAACAACUUUGAAACACCACACAAAAUUCUUUGAUGCCUAUUUGAUAUAAUGACAACAUUUUUUUUCCAUUAAGGACCCCUUUUAACUUAUGGAAACCCUAGAUUUCUCAUUUCCCUAACCUUGGAUCAAAUGGGUACAUGCAAAUCUAUCCUAGGUUUCUUUAGAAACUAGUCUUAGAGAAAACAUGGUUUUUAAAAACCAUUUAGUUUAAUAAAACUAGACAAAAAAAACAUUCAUACUUGGAUCUAGAUGUUCGUAAAUUAAUUCAUUGUGGUGAAGAAGAUGUUUGAAUACUCUGGAGGUCUCGUACACCUGAAGUCUUUUACCAAUGACUUGAACCACAGCCUUGACACUCCAAAUAGUAAACUUUGGAAGGAGGACGCCUUAACUCUUUCUUUAUUCCAUGGAUGUGGAAGAUGACAAUAAAAAAGCCUUAGAAACCCUAACCCCUAAGGAGAAUUUAUAGGGUUUCCUUACUAGGCUUAAGUCACUUAAGCCAACCAAGGUGUGAGUUACUUAAUCUAACCCAAUAUAGAUCCUAACGGAUUGCAUAACCACACAUGGACAUCUAAUUAAUCAAUUAGCCCAAUCUAGAGACCUUGUUCACUAUACAACCAUACGUAUUUACCAAAAUGCCCUUAUACACAAGAGUGAACAUAAAGCUAAUCCAACCCUUAUAAUCUAUGCCAUCAGGGUUAAUGAGCUCAAAAAGAGGACCAUUAGGACCUAUAGGAGUACUAGUUCCCUUAUAAUCCAAUUUUAAAGUUGAUUCAACAUCCCACUAUAGAGAAUCAACUACACUCCAGUACUUUAUGUAAAUAACAAUGAGAAAAAAUUCAGGUUCGUGACCUAUUACCCACUACAUGUAGACUCCCCAUGAACUAGUGUUCAUAAUCUAGCAUGGUAGUGUUAUCACCUAUCCAGAUUAUCUUUCCAAUCUUUGAGUUACAAAUCCCACUUAUGCUGUGAUCAAUUGACAUACUCAACUUACAAGAAGCAUAGGUUAAAUUUCACUAAAGAAAAUACUAUGACUAUAGUAUUUUAGAUCACGUCCUUUGGAUCACCUAAGAUGACACUCUUUCUCAAUUUCAUGGGAUAUCAUGGUGCCUUUAUUAAGAAUACUUGUUGUCACCAACUUCCAUCAACACUAACCCAAUCCAUAAGUAUAUGUGACCACCUUAGGGUCUCACCCAAACAUCAAAGUCUCCCGUUGACUUUGGAAUAGACUCAAUAUCCUCUCAAGGUUGAGAGUUUAUACAGUAUAGUAGAUUUAAUGAGUCAUGACAAGUGAUAGCCUUACAUUAUGAUUCAUCGUAGGUCCUGUCCAAAGUGUAACCAUACACACUAGUGCACUCACCAUGGGAAACCCAUCCCAAUGGCUAAGACAAGUCAUCCCUUAAAUUAGGAGGCAAUGCACUACAGUUUCUAUUGGAUUGUCUAAAUCCAUGAACUGACUAUGGACAAAUUAUCUACUUACAAGAAACCCAUGACUUGUAUCCUCUGUGCAACUCCUAAUGCACCUAAGUCAUGUACAAUGUAAGAGAUAUAGGUGUAUGCUCAAAUAGCUUAUAAAUGCAAAUGGGAUAAAAUGAAACCAAGAACCAUAAAUAAAUCUUAAUCUUUUACAUCAUUUUAUGCUUUUAAGGGCUCAAUUCAAAUAUUAACUUCUCCAAGAACCAAUACUAGUCCUAAUAAUUUUUUGAAAUUACAACACCAAGUACUAAAUGAAACAUUCCACCAUCUGUAUAAUAUGCAAUGGUUGAAAAAAGAGCUCCCUUAUAUGGGUUACUGAGGUGGCAAAAAUCAAUAGCUAAUACCAACUGACAUCCCAUGAUGAUUGAAUUGAAAAUGCAUGGGUACUAAACAAGUGCAUAAAAUACCUUUUAUUUGAAGUAUAAUCUACAUUAAUACAUGUGUUAAUUUCCAUUAGCCUUUGGUACAAUGAAGGCAAAAAGGUGUAGGAGUCACGUGAAACACCAUAAAUACGCUCCUUCGCCUUCUCUUUAAAGUGUCAUGCUUGGUUAUAUGUCAAUAUACUCCAUGCUCAUGGGUAAAAUCCUUGCAUAUUUGGCGAGGAAGAUAAUCUAGAGUUGUCCUAAACACUUCUUCAACAACAAUGACAUCCCUCUUUGAACUAACUCCCACUUGAGAUGAAUAAUCAUUUUGAGCAAAGCAAUCAUGACUAACUUAGUAAGUAUGUACACACAAAAUUUUAUUCCCCACUUCAAUUGAGUUGUUAUCUUUUAAAGAUAAUCCUCAACCAAACACUUUACUAACACAUGUUUCGAUGAAUUCUUCAUGUCCGUGUAUUGAAACCUCUCAUAUAAUGACAUCAAGUAUAUUGCAUUAUAGAACUCCUCUACAUUUUUAAAUGUACAGCCUGACCCUAGUAUUGCAUCAUAGUACCAAUUCUAUUCCAAAUGCAUGUACUCAGUUUUAGCACACCAUGAUGUAAAACCUCUUGAUUGCAUCGUAGCAUCGCAUAAUGUGUCACAUAAUACACUUGAGGAAGGAAACAAGGUAGGUGGAGCACUACAUAUUACACAAAUACAAUAAAUAAAUUUAAUUCAUGUAUAACUUUGAUAUUACUAUAUAUUAGUCAUACCAAAAGUCCAAUCCUUAAAGGGGUAUUUAUGAGGUUCCUCUACUAAGCUUAAGUGGCUUGAGCCCAUAUGGGCUUGGGUUACUUAAUCUAGCUCAAAUCUAGUCUUAAUUGAUUAAUUAACCACAUAGGGUCAUCUACUAAUCAAUGUACCCAAUCCAAAGACCUUGUUCACUAUCCCCUAUGCAACCAUGUGUAAUUACCAAAAUGUCUUUAUGCACAAGAGUGAACCUAGAGCCAAUCUAACCUCAUAAAACAUAUCAUCAUGGUGUAUGAAAUCAAAGCGGGGACCAUUGAGACCCAUAGAAAUAAGUUGAUUUAACAUCUUACUACAGAGAAUCAACUGUACUCUAAUACCCAAUACAAAGAACGAGACGAAGUUUGGGUUUGUGACCUACUAUUGAUUUCAACCUUAUUUCUUCCACUUUAAGCUUAUCACACACCGUGCACACUAGGUUCCGUUUAUAAGAUGAAAAACUAUUUUCCCCCUUGACUUAGGAAAAUUUAGACUUGGUACAUUUGACCUCAUUUUAAUAGUGUUGAGACACCUUAUAAAAGGCCAAUGAGCCUUUGGAAAAAGAAAGAAAGAAAAAAAAAUGUUUUACUUGCCUUGAAACCCAAGCAAGGUCUGAGGGGUAUAUGGUGAAAAUCUUUAAAACCUGGUGCCCUAAGCCUUCAAUGGUUGGGAGUCACCGACCUCAAUGCUCGUUACAUGGGUGAAUAGGUGGAGUUUAACAUAUUGUAGGUGCUUGGGUAUUAAAAAUUCAUUCUCAAAAGUCCGGGGUGAAAUCCGAGGAGUUAGUGGUUGAAAAAUCCUUAAAGCUUGAUGCCCUAAACCUUGAUUGGUUGGGAGUCAUUGAUGGACCCCCGUUACAUGGACAAUUUAGAAAAGAAUGCCUUUAAGCUUUGAACUCCUACAAGAAAAAAUUGUGAAAGAAAAGAGGUGCGUUCUUAGCCUAUUGGAGGUUGAUUAGUUUGCUAAGCUUUGAAAAGAACUAGGUUGAGGGGAGAGAUUAGUUUGACAUACUUGUAGACCCCCGAAGGCAGACAGUUUUUUUUAGUUAUUAUUAUUAUUAUUUAUUUAUUUUUAUUUUUCCUACCUUUUUCUUCCCGAGCCGCUCGACAUGAUGGGAGGGCUGGUUUUUGGGGCAGAGAGGGGACUCAAGUGGGCGGUUUUUGGGCGGCAGAUGGGAUGGGGUACGGAGAUGGCUUGGAGGAGAAGCUAAAAAGAAAAGAGAAAAAGGAAAGAGAGAGGGGGAUAUCGGCAGAGGGGUUUUUUUUUCUGGGAUCUGGAGAAAAACUAUGGGGGUGGAGUUAGUCUUUGCGGGGGAAAAUACUUCCAGAGCUUGAGGAAGGUUUUGGGGUGCUUUUGAGGCAGGCUAGAGGGAAAGACACCUGAGAGAGAGAACCUUUGGGGGAGUUUUUCAAGCAGAUGGAUUUUUCGGAGGUAGCUUGGAGAGUUUUCAUGAGAGCUUGAAGUCAGGCGAGCUUUCGCUUGUGAGGAGGUUUUUUUCAGGUAUGGAUCCUGUUGGUUAUCUUCUUUGUUUUGUUUCUGGAUAUCAUUUCUCGUUUUAGGUAUGUCUUUCCAGGUUGUAUUUUUAGCUUUCAAUGAUCUCUGAAUCAACCAUGGGUUGGUUGAUAUUACUGUAUCAUUUUCUCUUCUUGGCUUAGCUGAAAAGCAACUUGAAUCUGUUUCUAGCUUCAUUGCGAGAUAUCUCAGAUUUUAUUCCCCUGUUUUGUAUGAACCCAUAGUCCCCCAAUCCUCCUGUAGGCCCGUGGAUGAAAAAUGAAACAGGGUUUCACUCAUUAAUUUUCUGUUUUUAUACUCUGUUUUUUUAAAGGUUUUUUUUUUUCACGUUUUCCUCUGUUCUGAAUUGAAUGGGACAUGAGAGUGGCGUGACUUGGUUUGGUUUUGUCGAUGGACCUCUUGAGAUGGAAAACUUCCAGCACACUAUAGACUUGAAGUCUUGUGAUGAGGUCUGAGGACCGCGAAUGCAGAAUCACCAGUAGAAAGAAACGAUUUACUGUGUCUGUUAGAUAUAUGAGGAAGAAGAUGGCCAGAGAAAACCAGAGAGAGAGGAGGGGAAGGAGAGAUUCCAAAUUUGUUCUCUAAGCGAGAAGAGCUCUCCUAGUUUGUGGAGGUUGAUGAGGAGCAGUCUAGGAUGUUUCUUCGUAACUGGAGGACCAUGACGGGCAGCCAUUCAGAUCAUGAAACUCACUUAUCCACGUCUAUGAGGCCCAUCAGAUCUCCUUCUAUCACUACACUGCCACUCAUCCAACUAAUCAAUAUCCAUGUUUUCCCCAUGCAUUCCUCUCUCUACACCACGUACACCACUCACCUUCACCCAAUCCAUGCACCAUGGUUCCCAAGCACGCCCCCCUGCUCAUCACCUUUUUUUUAGUUUCAUACCCGUCUCUCCAUUCCACACCUACAUCCAUUUCUCUCUCUCUAGAUUUAUUCAUACCCAUUUUCUACACAUCACCACCUCUCAUCCCUCUACCUCCGCAUGGCCACCCCAACCACUAUAUCCACUUCUCCUCAUGCCGUUCACCCCCCCACCCGUUCAUUGUCAUCAUUUCCGCAUACAUGAAGGCCCCAUGCAAACCGGACCCAUCUCCACACCCAUUUUUCAUCCCUCACAUUUCCUCUCACUACACCACGCACACACCCAAGACCACUUGGACUGAUCACCAUUUAUGCCCACAUCUCUAUCCAGCUUCCUCGUUGUUCACCUAUCCUUUGAACCCAUCACUGCGUGGCCAUGCAUGGCUGCAUCUUGCUCAUUCCAUGCUCAUGCCCAUUUCGUUCAUGAUGUUUUAAGCGCGUCACGAGUCUCUUGCUGCCUUUUAGGAGGUGGAAUGAGGUUCCGCAUGGUGACUUGUGCGUUGCCGAGUGUACAUGGGCUGCGGGCUGUUGCUUCAAUGGAGAAAUGGGGCUUCAUUAGUGGCCAUCCACUAAGUUUAAAUAAAUGAAAAGUCAAUGGUGGCAUGGUGGCAUGGUGGCAUGGUAUUUCUCAUAAGUGGCUGGGCAUAUGUUUUCUUUUUGAAUGAAUUAGUGGUAGUGGCAUGGCCCAGUUGUGGCUCCAUGGUGGAUUUUAUUAUUUAUUCUUUUAUUUAUUUAUUAUUAUUUUUUUUUUCAUGUGUCAAAGUUUGGUAUCAAAUGUCUGAUUUUCGUAAAUUCUUUUUAAAUGAUUCUCAAAAUUCCGAUUUCACGAACAAUCCCAUUUCUAUUCCAAUUUUCAAAUAAUUGUUAAAAAUUUCAUUCUCAAAUAAUUUUCUGAAAUCUCAAUUUUCACAUUAAUAUAUUUAAUUAUUAUUACUUUAUUUAUUUAUUCUAAAAUUCCAUUUUAAACAAUUCAUUUAAAACUUCCGAUUUCCGAAUAAAAUUUCUAUUUCUGAAAAUUCCGAUAGUUACAUUAAUCUAUUUAAUUAUUAUUUUAUUUAUUUAUUCUAAAAUUUCACUUUAAACAAUUCAUUAAAAUUUCUGACUUCUGAUUUUAAUUUCUAAUUCCACAAAUCCCAACAUUCACAUUAAUCUAUUUAAUUAUUAUUAUUUUUACUUAUUUAUUCUAAAAUUUCAUCUUAAACAAUUCAUUAAAAUUUCCGACUUCCGAUUUAAUUUCUAAAUUCCAAAAUUUCAAUAUUCACAUUAAUCCAUUUAAUUAUUAUUACCUUACUUAUUUAUUCUGAAAUUCCAUUUUAAACAAUUCUUGAAAAUUCCAAUUUCCGAACUUAAUUUCCAAUUUCCAAAAUUCUAAUUUUUUUCUAAUUUAAUUCCCAAAAUUCCAACUCAUAAAUUUAAUUCCCAAGGCCCCCAAUUUUCAAACAAAUUCACUCAAAUAGUUUUAAUUCCAUUUCGGUUCCUAAAUAAUCCUCUAUUCUUCUUGAUUUUACAUAAGUAAUAGUGAAUUUUUCAUAAUUCUAAAACAUAGAAUUUGUGAGACUAGUUCAUGAGUAAUAAAUUGGGCUUUGGUGGGGGCCUUAUGUUUGAUCUCUUUCGAUUGUCAACUGUUGUGCUUAAUGUAUUUUGCUUGAUCUUCGUUUUGCAUUCCAAUAUGCAUGAACUGUAUUUUGCAUUCAUUAAUUGUGUACUAAUCCCGUUUCUUGAUAGCGCAUUCUGGCUCGUGGCCCAGGUACGCAUGCACUUUCAUCUUGAUCAUUCUCUACGCAUGUUCCGAUUCUCAUAUGCAUGAUUUGACUUAGGUAUCCAUUGACUUUCUCAUUAAUUGCCAUGUCAGCUUCAUUUUAUUAGUAGAGACCCGACUUCAGGGGCUUAGAGGGGUGCUACGGUUUUUGCCGUACCUUCCCGAUAAGUAACUUAACCCCCGAACCCGAUCCGGUUUUUCGUAGAUCACCUUUUCCAAAAUAAGGAGUCACACUUAGGGUUUUUCUUUCUUAUUUUGUUUACCCUUUUAAAAAUAAAACAAAAAUAAGUGGCGACUCCAAGUCAUUUUUCUUAAUCAAAUAAAAAUCAUUUUUUCAAAUAAAAAUCGAGCUCGCUAUCGAGUGGGAAACGCAUGAGCCGAAAUGCGGGGUCCACAAUACUAUAUCCGGAAACUAAUAAAUAACACAUAGAUUUUUGUGGAAGAGUAAGGAUUGGACCUUUGGGAGUGGAAAUUAUUUUGAAGCUUAAAUUUGCAUAAUGCCUACUCUUUAUGAAUUGUGACUAGACAAAUUAUUUGAUAGCUCCUAUUGAAGUUUGAGUUUUAUUUCUUUCAUGUUCCAUGUGAGAGUUUGAUCAGUCAUGCCACUUAAACAUUUUUUGGAGUGAUCAGCAUGAUUUUGUAAAUUUAUUACUUUUAUUUUUAUUUUUUCUCUCCUUCAUUGCUAAGGGACUAGCAAUAUGUCGGUUGGGGGGAGUGAAUCAAUAGGAGUUCAAUAAUUCAUCAACUUUAAUAAACAUAAUACAAACUCUAAGUUUCAAGUAAAAAGACAAAAAUUUAAUUUCUCCCAUUUCAUUUUGAAUUUUUUUUCCUUAAUAACCAUGGAGAGUAGUUAAAAAACUUUUAAAAAAUUUUAAAAAUUAAGCAAAAAGCAACUAAAUUACCAAAAUAACUUAGCAUUAAUAACAAAACUUCCUUCCUCAACUCUCCGCCCAACCAAGCUGAACAUUGUCCUCAAUGUUUCAAGAGCGAUUAAAAAAAUAAAGGGGGGAAGUGGUACCUCCUGAGUGGCAUGGAGUCUGGGUCGUAUAGGAGAAACCACAUGUUAAAAAAAAAACAAAAGAUUCAGUGAGUAGAGGAAAUAGAAAAAUGCCAAGUUUAAACAAAAAUGAUGUCUAUAUAUUAAUCUGAGAAAAUAGAAUAUAAUAUAUGAUCAUGCAAUACAUCCAAUCCCAGAAUAUAAAACAUCAAAACAUGGAAUUAUCUAUAUUAAUAUAAUAAGCAAAUACAAAAAUUGAAGAGAUGAUCAAGUAGUGGUAGGGUCCUGUGGAGAUAAUGGCUCUAUGGUGGCGUAGUCUUCUCAACUGGAGCUCUCAGCUGGAGUUAUGGGUUGUGAUGGUUUAGGGAGGUCAAAAAUGGAGUGAGAGGCUUCAGGUGUGUGAUCCCAGGGUGCACGGGGUUCUCCUCUAGUCUUGGCCAUGGCUGAAAUGGAGAGAGAUGGUUGUUCAUGAUUUCCAAAGAGUUCUCAAAUGGUGCACGGGGGUGUUAUCUCCUCUAAUGCAUGUUCCUGAGGCUUCAAAUAGAGAGGGAGAGGCGGAAUUUGGAUGGUCACACGUUUAAAAACUCUUUCGGAAGUCGAAAAUGGCUUUUAGGAAUGAAAAACAGAGUCUUGGGUGUUUAAAAAUAAGUUUAAAAGACAGUUGGUCAUUUUCGCACUUUAAAAAAAAAAAUUUCGCACCUUGGAAAGGAUUUUUUGCACUUUGGAUUUCAAGGUGCGAAAUUUUCACACCAUGUUUUGAUUUUCGCACUCGAAUUCGCACCGUGCGAAAUUUUUCGCACCUUGUUUCGCACCGUGCGAAACAGUUUCGCUACUUGAGGUGAUGGCACUCGUGUGGCAGCAGGUGGUUUCGCACUGUGCGAAAUUUUUCGCACCAGGAACAGUAGCCAUGCGAAUUUGGAUUUUGGAUUUUCGCAACUUGGAUGGAUUUUCGCAAGUUGAUUUGCCUUUUCAGAAGUUGUUUCACAAGUUCCCCCACUUUUGGAAGUUGUUUCGCUGAAAAAAAAAAUUUUGCAAGUUGUUUCGCACAGUGCGAAAAUUGGUUUGGGCUGUGCGAAAUGCCACUCGUGUGCCAGGAGGGUGUUUCGCACCUUGAUUCGCACAGUGCGAAACUUUCGCACCUUGAUUCGCACUGUGCGAAAUUUUCUUUCAACUCAUCGCAGUUUUAUUGCAAUGACCAUAACUUUUUUGUUUCAACUCUGAUUUAGACAUCGUUUGAAGCGUUGGACUCCUGACUUCCCGAGCUUCAAAACAGUAUAUAGUAUGUAUAAAAUGGACUCAAGUAAGUGCUCCAAAUAUGUCCCAAAGUGGCAAUAGAACCAAUGGCCAGAAUUCUCUCUUCUCUUCCUUUUCUUUCAUCAUUUUUUUUUUGACAGUACACCCAACUGUUUUGCAGUCCCUCCUGCAAUGAUCAUCCAAAAACUUAUGUUAAAUCAAAACUAAUUAAAAUUAAAGCAUUGAAAUCAAAAUUAAAACAAGUAAUAAAGCAAAAAGAUAUGGACUAGCUAGUAUUUAGAAAGACUAAGUCCAUCAAAAAAAUGUUGUCCUGUUUCAGCUUGCCCGGAUCCCAUAUGAAGUUAGCAUCCUUCAUUAGAGAUUUGCAUUGUAUGAUGGCAAUGGAAACAAUUCCCUUUCUCUUUCCUUUUAUUUCCUCCCUCUUCUUUUUCUCUAUUUCAUGCUCUUAUUUGGAUGUGGCCAAAUCAAACUCUUUACCACUCCUUAGAGUGAUCACGGCUUUAACGUCUCUCACUUGUGAAGAUUCUUGAUUCAUGCCCAAUUGGUGUCUCAGCUGAUUCAUGUCCAGCUGGUGCUCCUUGGAUGAGGGAGUAAUCAACAAAAUUUAUAACCUAUUACACCAUAUACUAGGGUAGCAAAGAAAAAGCUAUUAUAGUAUAGCGGCUCUAGGAUCGUUCACUGGGAAGGAUUAGCAAAUUAUCAAUGAUACCAAUUCAAAGUGAAUUGGUCUUGUUUCAUUUCAAGGUUAGCUUAAGAAAUAAAACACAAACUUUAAUUGGUAAAGAUUUAGAUUUAAACUAACUACAAAACAAGUAAUGGGAAUAACUUAGGAAGAAAAACAUUCCUUGGAGGGUCAGGUUCACUGGGGUGGUUCAUCAUGCAAAAGACCUAGCUCCGGUCAGAUGGUUCAUUUCCUCGCGUUAGAGAUUCAACAUAUAAUCAAUUAUCUAACCGAUGUUGUACAGAUACAUCCUUUAAUUAGAUUUCAACUUUAAUUCUCUCACUGAUGCAACUUGCAAUGGUUCAAGCCUCUCACUAAGCCUUAACCAUUCAAGGUGAUCUUUAACCUUGGAAUUCCCUUCUCAAGCUCGCAAGAGAUAACUAAUAGAUGUCUCCUUGGAGUCCAAAAGCUUACCAAGUGUUGGCAAUUCCAAAAAAUCCUACCUUAAAGUCACCUCCCAGAGGCUCGCAAGGGGUAAACUAGUGCAUCUCCUUGGUUGGAGAUCACUUGCCUUACCAAGUGUUGGCCCAGGUGACUCUAAGGUGUUUUAAGUUAACUAAAAACAUAGAAAUCACUAAAGGAUUUCACUUCCUCUUCAUUGAUGGAUGAAACCACAAAGCUUUGCAUUCUUGCACUUGGAACCUUCCCCGGCAACCUUAGCUUCAAGGAACUAAAGGUUUUAGUUACUCAUUCUCUGGGGAAAAUUCCUCAGAGAGUGCAUAACUUAGUAAGAAAAUAAAAAUACAAAGUGAGAAGGUAAGGCAAAACAAAGGGCUUGAACUUUACUUGCUUCCAAACUUUUACAAAAAGGUUCCUUCUUUGAGAACAGGCUCUCUAGAGGUAUAUAUGAACAUAAUACAAAACUAAUUAUUAUAUAGAUAUUUUCUCUUUUUACUAACUUAAAAGCUAAGGAAUCUUGUAAUUGGUGGCUUACAAGGAGUAUUUUGGGAUUUAGACAACAAAAAUCUGAUGGAAAAUAUCUCCCAAUGUCGGUAGCAAAUAUCGGGAAGCACUACGGACCAUUUCGCAAGCGAAAAUGAUGUCUGCGAGAUUUCGCAAACACACAAAAGGGCUGCGAAAUCACUUCGCAGCAAAAGGUUAUUCUCGCAGGGCUACGAAGUUGGCUUCCACCUUGAGGUUCUCAGCUUCCCACUUGCGGCAUAUAUCGGGCAACUUCAGGAGGAAAUACACCACACUGUACAAAAAGGCUGUGAAAUCACUUCGCAACAAAAGGGUGAUUUCGCAACACUUUGCAAAAUGCUUCCUUCAGCUUGGAGUAAUUGAUUUGCAAUGGCUGUAACUUCUUCGUUUCAACUCCGAAUUGUGCACCGUUUGAAGCAUUGGAUUGUUGACUUCCUGUGCUUUGAAAUGGUAUAUAGCAUGCAUCAAUUGGACUUCAGAAAGUGCUCCAAAAGUGGCUGCCACAACUAUCAUCAAGAAUAUACUUCAUGGCAAAUUCUCUUUACUUCUUCUCCUUGCAUUCCGGAUUUACUCUUGGCAAAUGACUUCCAAGCUUUGCCCAAGAUUCCUCAUAACUCUCCUCAAUCUUGGAUUGCUUUGGUGAUCAAAUUACUAACAAAAACACCAAAACUUACACAAAGUGAUUAAAAUUGCUUUCAAGGGUCCUUAACAUGCCAAUUGAGUUAAAAGGCCAAAAAUACUACUCAAAAGUGUUUAAAAGGGUUUAAUACAAGCUACCAAAGAGCACUUUUUGAAUAGUAAUCAAUUCUCUCUUAUGAGCCUUGAGAUUAGUGAGCCUUGAGAUUGAGUAUUGGAGAUUAUCUAUCUUUUGAGAUAGAUCAUUUUGUAUUUCAUCCAUCCUUUUAUUCAAUGAACUCUCUACACUGUCAAUUCUUUGACUGAGCUGAACAUUGAUGGAUUUCUGAGCUCCAACAAAGUCUCCCCCGACCUUGCUAAGAUUCACUAUAGCUUGUUCAAGGUUCGAGGCUUGCUGAGGUGCUUGAGCAGGUUGCUGGUAUUGAGGUGGUUGUGGUUUCCAAGAGAAAUUUGGAUGGCCCCUCCAAUUGGAAUUGUAGGUGUUGUAAUCACCAAACAUUUCCC